RNAcentral lists this antisense RNA (88 nucleotides) under Enterococcus rivorum. RNAcentral's name for it is "Enterococcus sp. HAMBI 3055 Enterococcus sRNA 84". It matches the Rfam family "Enterococcus sRNA 84". From Rfam's summary of the family: Name 'Ref' stands for RNA in E. faecalis. Lineage: Bacteria; Bacillati; Bacillota; Bacilli; Lactobacillales; Enterococcaceae. The record is from Rfam by way of RNAcentral.
UACCAACAACAACCUUUUUAUUUUUCAUUUUUACUCUUUAGAGUAAAUACUCCUUUCAAGCUCCUACUUUUGUAGGAGCUUGUUUUUG